AAAUCUGGCUCUUUCAGAGUCCGAGUUGUAAUUUGAAGAAGGUAUCUUUGGGUCUGGCUCUUGUCUAUGUUUCUUGGAACAGAACGUCACAGAGGGUGAGAAUCCCGUGCGAUGAGAUGAUCCAGGCCUAUGUAAAGUUCCUUCGAAGAGUCGAGUUGUUUGGGAAUGCAGCUCUAAGUGGGUGGUAAAUUCCAUCUAAAGCUAAAUAUUGGCGAGAGACCGAUAGCGAACAAGUACAGUGAUGGAAAGAUGAAAAGAACUUUGAAAAGAGAGUGAAAAAGUACGUGAAAUUGUUGAAAGGGAAGGGCUUGAGAUCAGACUUGGUAUUUUGUAUGUUACUUCUUCGGGGGUGGCCUCUACAGUUUAUCGGGCCAGCAUCAGUUUGGGCGGUAGGAGAAUUGCGUUGGAAUGUGGCACGGCUUCGGUUGUGUGUUAUAGCCUUCGUCGAUACUGCCAGCCUAGACUGAGGACUGCGGUUUAUACCUAGGAUGUUGGCAUAAUGAUCUUAAGUCGCCCGUCUUG
This 522-nucleotide ribosomal RNA is filed under the name Candida tropicalis. RNAcentral's name for it is "eukaryotic LSU rRNA". It matches the Rfam family "Eukaryotic large subunit ribosomal RNA", at positions 118 to 656 of the family's 3401-position model. Lineage: Eukaryota; Fungi; Ascomycota; Pichiomycetes; Serinales; Debaryomycetaceae. The record is from RNAcentral.